This 3286-nucleotide long non-coding RNA is filed under the name Malus domestica (apple). RNAcentral's name for it is "long non-coding RNA (MDOM_LNC021064)". The record is from RNAcentral. Lineage: Eukaryota; Viridiplantae; Streptophyta; Magnoliopsida; Rosales; Rosaceae.
UAAUUUAAGCGGACCUAAUUAACUUGGAGUGUCGAGGUUCAUAACUUAUUGAAUUGAUAACUGGAAAUCGAUUUACGUUGCAUAUAUUUCAUGUGUGGAGAAGAACCCCUUAGCUAUUCCAUCAUCCAUUGAUUCAUCACAAUUUUGUCUUACAAUCUGUUUUCUUUACAAUCUGUCCAUUUAGUUUAUUUUCGUCCAAAUCAAAUCCCCAUUUAUUUUGAAGUCCUAGAUUAGUUAAAAAGUGUGUUGGUUUAUGUUUUUAAGUGUUUUGGUACAAGUUAAAACCCAAAUUCGUCCAAUUUGGUGCUUUGUGUCAAAACUGCCCAGAAAGUGUUUUUAAGGCAGUUUUGAGUCUUUUAGUUGCUGUUUUGAGUUUUUGGUUUGUUUUAGUAUUUUAAACGUUAGUUUUGCAUUCUUUGAGUCUAAUCUAGUGUUUUAAACUUUGUUUUUGCGUUUCUAAUUCAGUUUUCAAGUGAUUAGUGCCCCUAGUUAAUCCCCGGUUAGAACGAUCCCUACUUACAUCAUUACUACAAUUGUCACAAAUAGGGUUUAAUUUGUGUGUCAACAUCAUUACUACAAUUGCCAUUCAAGUUGGAUUGUUAGAGCGUUUUUAGGUGUUUUCAUUCUUUUGUUUUCAAUGUCUAAAUUUGUUUAUCUUUGCUUUGUGAGUAUGAGGAACUAAACCCCCCUUAGCUAGGGGGGAAUUUGAAACCAUGUUCAUGCUUGCAAUAUGAUUUGAUUACCUUCAGUUGUGAUUUCAUAAGUUGUGAAUUCAAUUUGUUUAACUGCUUGAUUGAUAACUUAUUCAUGUAUGUUUAUUAAGAGUCCACACUUAGUUUGCAUGCAUGAAAAUGAUGCUAGAGUAUAAGGGAGUUUCACCUAAUAGUUACAAACUUAUAUUCACAAGUAGUGGAGGUUGAUAGGAGCAUAUUUAUGCGCCUUAGUUAGCUAGUUCUUAUGCAUCUUUGUUAUGUUUUCUUCGUUAAAGUAGUCUUUUAAGCUACUUUCAUGUGUUUUCAGGUUUAAAGGACAUAUUACAUGAAAUGAUGCAAUUUGGAGCUUUUGGAGCAAAAAGUGAGCUUGGAAUGAAAAGGACAUGCUUGGAACACAAGGUUGGGAUGAAAUUGAAGAGUUGAAGAUUUGAGGUUUCCUACUUGAAGUAGGAAAGCUAAGCCUAAAAGUUUCCAUUUUGGGUUGAUCUUUCCUAAAUCGGAAUUGGCAACCAAAGUUUCUAAAAGUUGGAAGUUUCUAUUCUUGGAGGUUUCCAUUUUCGUGAGUUUCUAUUCUCGGCUUUGGGCUUUUGGAUGACCCAUCCUCACUUCUUGGACCUAUGCCGCACCUUAAACCCUAAUCCUAGCCCAUUUAAUCAGCCACACCCUAGGGCCUAAUCAUUUUAAAUUCUGCCAAGUUAAACCCUAAUCUAUCUACCCUAAGCCCAAGCCGCACCCUAGGCCUUUUCCCAUGCAAAAAUCUGAUUGUAAACCCUAAUUCCUUGUGGAUUUUCUAACCCUAGCCGCACCUAAACCCUAGCCCAUUGUCUAACCUGAUUUCUUUAGGGUUUUAGGUGCCUAUAUAUAUGUGUUUUACAUCCUUUGGCCGAUCAUCACCCUCUCCAUAAUUCAGAAAUUCGUCCAGCCACUUCCCACUCUGUGCCGCAGCCAUUCUACAACUCCAGCCACCAUUCUACACUUCCAUACACCAUUCUACACACCUCCAUACACCACCCCAUACCCUUGCCGCACCACCAUACCAUCCUAACUCCCUUCUAAAACCAAAAUCACAUCCAAAAACACCCUAAACCCUCUCUGCCGCAGCAAGGAGAAGAAGAAAGAGGAGCUUGAAGUCAGAAAUUCAAAGUGGAAUUCGUGGGCGUUUUAGGUGUAAUCUUUCCUAUGUCUUCGAUGUUUCAAUUCAAUAAACUUUGUGUUGUGAGUAUGAGGAACUAAACCCCCUUAGUUGGGGGGUAAUUCGAAACCAUGUAUACGCUUGCAAUAUGAUUUGAUUACAUUCAGUUGUUAUUUCAUAAGUUGUGGAUUCAAUUCGUUCAUCUAUUUGAUUGAUGACUUAUUUGUGUAUGUUGAUUGAGAGUGCACGCUUAGUUUUCAUGCAUGAAUAUGAUGCUAGAUUAUGAGGGAGUUUCACCUAAUAGUUAUAAUCUUAUAAUCACAAGUAGUGAAGGUCGCUUGAAAACGAUCGCGUUGAAUGAAUUCUUAGCAUAAGUUUCAUGCAAUUCAUAGUAAUGAAUGCUUCGUCAAUGCUUAUGUUUUUCAUAGAACUUAAUGAUUCUUGCUUGUAUCUCUAUUAUGCAAUUCAUGUAGGGAACUUGUAGGGAAUGUUUUGGGUUGUCGUAUGCAAUCAUCCAACUUGAUAACUUAUGGAAAAACUGAGGGUUAAUUAGUGCAAUUCACGGUUAAUUUGGGGCAUUGAGUAUUUAUAAUUUAUUGGAAGAACAACUGAAAAUCGUUUUGUUUGCAAGUGUGACAUGUGUGGAGAAGAACCUCCUAACUAGCCUUUUAUCCAUCUAUUUCACCAAAAUCGUUUUUACAAUCUGUGCUAGUUAAAGUUUCUGUUUUGUGUUAAAUUUUCGUCCAAAACAAAUCCCCCUUUAAUUUGAAGUCUUAGAUUAGUUAGAAAGUGUUUUGAUUUGUGUUUCUAAGUAUUUUGAUUCAAGAUUUCAUCAAAUUUCGUCCAAAUUAGUGUAGGUGCUCAAAACUGCCCAGAAAGUGGUUUUUAGGCAGUUUUGAGCCUUCUAGUUGCUGUUUUGAGUUUUAGGUUUGUUUAAGUGUUUUAACCUUUACUUUUGCAUUCUUUGAGUCUAAGUUUAGUGUUUUAAACUUUGUUUUUGAGUUUUUAAGUCAGUUUCCAAGUGUUUAGCAAUCCCUCCUAAUCCCCGGUCUAGAACGAUCCCUACUUACAUACUUUACUACAUUUGUCAAAAGAGGGUUUAAUUUGUGUGCUUAAUAUAUUUCGCAUCAGAGGUCGCUUAUAAACGAUCGCGUUAAAUAAAUUCUUGGCAAGAGUUUCAUGCUCAUCAUAGUAACGAAUGCCUCGUCAAUACUUAUAGUUUUCAUAAUGCUUAAUGAUCUUUGAUUGUAUCUUUAUUGUGCUGUUCACGUAAAGAACUUUUGAAGAAUGCUUGAAUUGUUGUAUGUGCUUUCCCAUCCAAUUCAAUAACUUAAGGAGAACUUGAAGGUUAAUUUAAGCGGACUUAAUUAACCUGGGGUGUUGAGUUUCAUGAUUGAUCGAAAGAACAACUGAAAAUUGGUUUAUGUGCAAGUAUGUCAUG